This 320-nucleotide ribosomal RNA is filed under the name uncultured bacterium. Its description in RNAcentral is "bacterial SSU rRNA". It matches the Rfam family "Bacterial small subunit ribosomal RNA", at positions 30 to 341 of the family's 1533-position model. The record is from RNAcentral.
AUUGAACGCUGGCGGCGUGCCUAACACAUGCAAGUCGAGCGGUAACAGGUGUAGCAAUACAUGCUGACGAGCGGCGGACGGGUGAGUAACGCUUGGGAAUCUGCCUAUUAGUGGGGGACGAACCCGGGGAAACGUACGGGCGUAAUACCGCAUACGCUCUACGGAGGAAAGACCGGGGACCGGCAAGGCCUGGCGCUAAUAGAUGAGCCCAAGUCGGAUUAGCUAGUUGGUAGGGUAAUGGCCUACCAAGGCGACGAUCCGUAACUGGUCUGAGAGGACGACCAGUCACACCGGAACUGAGACACGGUCCGGACGUCCUA